GGGUGUGGCUCAGAGGUAGAGCGCUCGCCUAGCUUGCGUGAGGUACGGUUCGAUCCUCAGCACCACA
RNAcentral lists this transfer RNA (67 nucleotides) under Marmota monax (woodchuck). RNAcentral describes it as "tRNA.Ala". The record is from RNAcentral. Lineage: Eukaryota; Metazoa; Chordata; Mammalia; Rodentia; Sciuridae.